This 1062-nucleotide long non-coding RNA is filed under the name Ursus maritimus (polar bear). RNAcentral's name for it is "lncRNA (ENSUMAG00000008865.1)". Lineage: Eukaryota; Metazoa; Chordata; Mammalia; Carnivora; Ursidae. The record is from RNAcentral.
CAGAAAGUUUCACUUAGCAGAAUACAUCAUCUGACCAUGGCGCCUGGAUAAGGACGAUGACCUGGCAGAGUGAGCUCCGGUUACGUGUGUGCAGGCUGUGAUCCCAGCGCCGCUGCCCAGUUGCCCUCCCACUCCCAAAAAAGCGUAACAGUACAUCAAAGGACAUGGCUCAGUGGAUGUUGGAUACGGAAGCUAGCUACACUUCGGGCCUCCCCAGAGAAGGGAUCCCAUGACUCGUCUCUGGAGACCAGAGAGAUAAUGGGACUGAAGACAAGUCAGUGUCAAGACAAAGACCUGGGGAUAAAUACAGCCAUUUGCACACACAGAAAUAACGCACACACAGAGAUAAAGCGAGAUUUUUCAAGUUUGUCAAUUAUUACUGGUCAAGAGUUCUGUGGGUAUGAGCAACUAUCAACUACCAAGGCUACAGACAACAACAAUAAAAAGCAACAUCCAAUGUUUAUUUAUUGCUCUGGAAGUUAAGAAAUUAAAAAAAAAAAAUUAUGUACCUGUGAAACAGAGAAAGAAAAAUAUAAAAUUGACCAUGUAUAUAGUAUGAUUCUUUGUACCCCAAUGUGCCAGUGUGUCAGAAAAGGCCAGAGCUGUGUGCAGGAGCUGAAGCUUUCUGAAGGGGCACAGAGGAAGGAGGUGAAGGUUCUCAUUUAGAGUGGAUAGCUCAUGCGCCACAGUUUGAACUUGACUUAGGGAUAAACCAAGAGCCUGCAUCUGGGAAAUGGCAUGUUUAUCUCUAAAGUAGCAGUUUGGAGGCGGAGGGAUUCCUGGCCAAGAACAAUGUCUGGCCCAUUCUAGGCACAAAAAUAAGUAUUUGUUGAUGACACAGAAGCCCUGCCUCCAAAUCAACAUUCUCACAACUCACCAAUACGAUCAAAGGAGGAAAACUCUAGAACUCCAAGAGAAACCCAUUCCCCCCCUCUUAAUCUCCAAGAGAUUAUUGUUUUCUAUUUCCAUGGUAACUAGAAGACCCCAAAUUGCCCAAAUUUGAGAGAGACUUCACAUGAAAGCCAGAAAAUAAAAAUUAACAAGAGACAAAUGUUAUGGACA